UUGCAUGUGGCUGGGUGGCGAGAAAUUUUUGGAACUGUUCAGCAAGAUCAAACACUCUUGAAGUAGUCUCAUAUGGAUAUACAUGAUCAAUACCAAUGCCAACGGAAGAAGGAUCAGUCAAACGAAAUAUAGCCAUAUUAUCAAACAAUCAAAUAAACCAACAAACAAUUGCUUCAAAUGUAGAAGUCCAACCAAUCACCCCCAAUGCCAAAACUCAACGGAGCCAACCAAUAACAAAUUCAAUAAGCAAUAUGCAAACCAAC
Molecule: long non-coding RNA, 263 nt
Filed under: Trifolium pratense (red clover)
Lineage: Eukaryota; Viridiplantae; Streptophyta; Magnoliopsida; Fabales; Fabaceae
Description: long non-coding RNA (TPRA_LNC013554)
Source: RNAcentral